This 759-nucleotide ribosomal RNA is filed under the name Trentepohliaceae sp. Kukwa 19266. Its description in RNAcentral is "SSU rRNA". It matches the Rfam family "Eukaryotic small subunit ribosomal RNA", at positions 281 to 1049 of the family's 1831-position model. Lineage: Eukaryota; Viridiplantae; Chlorophyta; Ulvophyceae; Trentepohliales; Trentepohliaceae. The record is from RNAcentral.
GCGCCGGCGAUGUUUCAUUCAAAUUUCUGCCCUAUCAACUUUCGACGGUAGGGUAGUGGCCUACCGUGGUGGUAACGGGUGACGGAGGAUUAGGGUUCGAUUCCGGAGAGGGAGCCUGAGAAACGGCUACCACAUCCAAGGAAGGCAGCAGGCGCGCAAAUUACCCAAAUCCCAACUCGGGGAGGUAGUGACAAGAAAUAACGAUGCUCCGGCCAUCGGUCGGGUAAUCGGAAUGAGGACAAUUUAAAUCCCUUAUCGAGGAUCAAUUGGAGGGCAAGUCUGGUGCCAGCAGCCGCGGUAAUUCCAGCUCCAAUAGCGUAUAUUUAAGUUGCUGCGGUUAAAAAGCUCGUAGUCGGAUUUCGGGUGGUGCCUACCGGUCCGCCCUUGGUGUGUACUGGUAGGCGCCACCUUUCUGCCGAGGACGGGUUCCUGGGCUUAGCUGUCUGGGGCCCGGAGUCGGCGAUGUCACUUUGAGUAAAUUAGGGUGUUUAAAGCAGGCUUAUGCUCUGUAUACACUAGCAUGGGAUGACACGAUAGGACUUCGGUCUAUCUUGUCGGUCUGUAGAUCGGAGUAAUGAUUAAGAGGGACAGUCGGGGGCAUUCGUAUUUCGUAGUCAGAGGUGAAAUUCUUGGAUUUACGGAAGACGAACUUCUGCGAAAGCAUUUGCCAAGGAUGUUUUCAUUGAUCAAGAACGAAAGUCGGGGGCUCGAAGACGAUUAGAUACCGUCGUAGUCUCGACCAUAAACGAUGCCGACUAG